GUGAAAUUGUUGAAAGGGAAACGCUUGAAGUCAGUUAUGUCGUCCAGGGAUCAACCUUGCUUUUGCUUGGUGCACUUUCUGGUUUGACAGGUCAGCAUCAAUUUUGACUAUUGGAAAAAGGCUUAGGGAAUGUGGCAUCCUUGGAUGUGUUAUAGCCCUUGGUCAUAUACAAUGGUUGGGAUUGAGGAACUCAGCACGCCGCAAGGCCGGGUUUUUAACCACGUACGUGCUUAGGAUGCUGGCAAUAUGGCUUUAAUCGACCCGUCUUGAAACACGGACCAAGGAGUCUAACAUGCCUGCGAGUGUUUGGGUGGAAAACCCGAGCGCGUAAUGAAAGUGAAAAGUUGAGAUCCCUGUCGUGGGGAGCAUCGACGCCCGGACCAGACCUUUUGUGACGGUUCCGCGGUAGAGCAUGUAUGUUGGGACCCGAAAGAUGGUGAACUAUGCCUGAAUAGGGUGAAUCCAGAGGAAACUCUGGUGGAGGCUCGUAGCGAUUCUGACGUGCAAAUCGAUCGUCAAAUUUGGGUAUAGGGGCGAAAGACUAAUCGAACCAUCUAGUAGCUGGCUCCUGCCGAAGUUUCCCUCAGGAUAGCAGAAACUCAUAUCAGAUUUAUGUGGUAAAGCGAAUGAUUAGAGGCCUUGGGGUUGAAACAACCUUAACCUAUUCUCAAACUUUAAAUAUGUAAGAACAAGCCGUCUCUUGAUUGGACCGCUUGGCGAUUGAGAGUUUCUAGUGGGCCAUUUUUGGUAAGCAGAACUGGCGAUGCGGGAUGAACCGAACGCGAGGUUAAAGUGCCGGAAUUCACGCUCAUCAGACACCACAAAA
Molecule: ribosomal RNA, 826 nt
Filed under: uncultured Basidiomycota
Lineage: Eukaryota; Fungi; Basidiomycota
Description: LSU rRNA
Rfam family: Eukaryotic large subunit ribosomal RNA
Source: RNAcentral